AGAUGAGGCAUAUCUGAGGCACAGAGAGGUUAAGUUGGGGACUGAAGUGUGGCUCCAGAAUCUAAGUUUCUAACUGCCAUGCUAUGACUGACCCCACUGGACUCAUGACUCAUGGACUCAGCUGGUCCUGUGGCCCUACCCAGAAGUGGACUCAGCACACGAGGACCAUUUCCCACACUCCUGUGAUUUCAUCCCCAAUUAUUCAGCAGUACCCUUUCCAUAGCCCCUUGCCCACCAAGUUGUCCAUAAAAACCCUAGCCUCUGAGCUUUUGGGGAGAUGGAGUUGAGUAAUAACUCCAUCUACUGCAUGGCUGGCCUUGUGUCAAUUAAACUUUUUUCUUUACUGCAAUAACAUGGUCUCAGUGAACUGAUUUUGUUCAUGCAGGAGGCAGGAAAAGCCCCUUGGGUGAUUACACAGUGGUUCUCAAAGUAUGGACCUCCAACCAGCAGCAUCAGCAGCAUCUGGAUACUUGCUAGAAAUGGAAAUUCUCUGGCCCUAUUCCAGGCCUUCCAAGUUGGAAACUUUGUGAUGGGGCCCAGCACUCUGUGUUUU
This 553-nucleotide long non-coding RNA is filed under the name Homo sapiens (human). Its description in RNAcentral is "non-protein coding lnc-CNBD1-1:2". Lineage: Eukaryota; Metazoa; Chordata; Mammalia; Primates; Hominidae. The record is from RNAcentral.